AUGUGAAGAGCUCUCGUUUGAAUUAAGUAAAGAAGUUAUUUCUACAAGACGUUUCCUGCAAGCCGUCCUCCCUCUACACCCCGACAUGACACAUGCUUAAAGUACAAAUCAGCCUUUAGUCAACAUGCUAAUAACCAGAAAAGAUUGUAACUUUAUGCGCUAUUCUUAUGUUAAAAUUGUGUGUUUUGAUAGGUGUGUCCUGUCUGUGUCCAGUGUAUUGUUUUGCUGUAAUUAGCAGUGGUUUUACUUGUUUAGGGUGUGUGAAACGAAAUAUCUGAAAUUCUACGCUGUUUUGUCUCUGCUCACAGGAAUUAGUUGAAAGUAUUUGAAAGAUAACCGUUAAGCAUCGUCCAAUCAUGAUAAAAUUGCGCCUUGGACAAAGAAUUUGAUUGGCUGAGCUCUCAUUGGCGCGGAGCGUUUGCGUUUCAGCACGUCGGCAGUGGACAAGUGGCGAACGAUUAUUGCUUUGACUGAGCAGAACUACAAACUGGUGGGAAUGUGAAGUAAUAUAAAUGUGUCUGGGCAAAUUGGGGACAAUUUGGGGUCUCAUAAUAUCGGUGAAUUCACAGAAAAUUUCAGUUUUUCUGAAUAUUUCUGCAGGUAUUGCCGGAUAACACGAACAGAUUUUCAAACAGAUCCAAAUGCAUGUGGACCUCAGCGCACUCUUACAGUCUGAAGAACAACAAAACGCUGAAGAAAUGGGUGAUUCAGAGCUAAACACUUUAAACAUCAGCAAUGCCAUUGAUGCUGUAUUACCUGAACUCUCAAUCGCAACUAAAAAAUCUCUUGAGGACACCUUAAAGUCACUUGGAGUGGAGUCCCCAGAAGAUUCAAGCCAGGAAAUUUAUUUCUGUUCUAAAGGAGACCAGUAAGUCCAAGUAUUUGUUUCCAUUACAAAAAAGGGAUGGUUUAAUAUUAAAAUGAAAAUUCUGA
This is a long non-coding RNA of Denticeps clupeoides (denticle herring), 933 nucleotides long. The record is from Ensembl. NCBI's taxonomy places the organism in Eukaryota, Metazoa, Chordata, Actinopteri, Clupeiformes, Denticipitidae.